This 253-nucleotide ribosomal RNA is filed under the name uncultured bacterium. RNAcentral describes it as "partial 16S ribosomal RNA". It matches the Rfam family "Bacterial small subunit ribosomal RNA", at positions 524 to 776 of the family's 1533-position model. The record is from RNAcentral.
UACGUAGGGUGCAAGCGUUGUCCGGAAUUAUUGGGCGUAAAGAGCUCGUCGGCGGUCUGUUGCGUCGGCUGUGAAAACCCGGGGCUCAACUCCGGGCCUGCAGCCGAUACGGGCAGACUAGAGUUCGGCAGGGGAGACUGGAAUUCCUGGUGUAGCGGUGAAAUGCGCAGAUAUCAGGAGGAACACCGGUGGCGAAGGCGGGUCUCUGGGCCGAUACUGACGCUGAGGAGCGAAAGCGUGGGGAGCGAACAGG